AGGGCUCUGGAUCUCUGUUUCUCUACCUGUAAAGCAAGGGGGUUGGAUGUGCUUUCCUGCUUUGAAAUCUGGCGAUUCUUAUCGUCUUUUACAGAGCCCACUCUGCGGAAAGCGGAGCACGGCUCACUUGUUGCUGCGAGCUUCUUAUCAGAUACAGACCCAGACAGACACCGUCUGGCCUAACUGCUCACGUGAUGAUUAUUCACCCUGUCCAGAAGAAAGUGCCAGGUGAUAUCUGAGCUGUGGCAGCAGCCAGCUGCCUCCAAACACAUUCCAGGAGCUUGAAUCCUCUCCCUGGGGGUGAAUUUUUUUUUUUCUUCCAACUGGGAAACUUCAGGCCGGAUGUCCACCAGGCAAAAUGCCCAAGACCACCAUCUUUCUCCUGCAGAACUGCAGUAACCACUGUGGUGGGCACUGGAGGUGGCCCCUUGACUAUCCAUGUCCUGCUCCUUGUUCCUAACUCGAAAUUGACUUUGAAAGCAUUCAGCUCUGUCCUUUAUGACUCAGAGGAAGCUACUAUCACCUCUGGUGUAGGGGUGGCCUAAUAGAGGAAGUCUGGCCUGGUAUACCCCUGGGAUUAGGCCUGUGGCCUAAGUGGCUUAAUGAUAUUGAAGGGAGGAACAGUCUCCUUCUUUCCUGCUGGAGGAGCAGGAUGUAGUGAGCUGGCCUGGGCCCAGGUCAUGAAGGAUGAGUUUAAUGUGGAAUCAUUGCCCCAUGGACUCGCCCUCAGGCUGCUCCAGGAAGAGCGACAUGAAGAUGACAGGAACAGUCGUAACCAAGCUUGACAAACUACUGAUUUCUACCAAAGAAACUUCAAUGCCUUCCAGACAUCAGAGCCGACAGAUGAGAAGAGCUAAGAACAUGGAGGAGGCUCCUGUAGACACCAAUGUCUCUUGCCAUUUCAUACCAUAGCUCCCCUCCUCCAAGCAGCCUUCCCAGGUCUUUUGAUCAUGGCAGCAAAAAAGCUGACUAAAACAGAGCACUGUAUGGAAAAAAGUGAUGUGAAUUGAAAGUGUAGAAGCCUUCUCAGAGAAGAAGUAUGGCAAGAGAACUUCCCACUGGAGGGAUGAAGGAAGAUCUCUUGAUUUUUGAUCUUGGAGGAGGUGGUAUUGAGGUGGUCCUUUAAGGAUGCUCUGAAACAUCCAGACUGAAAACUCCCGGGGACAGUUCUCGAGUACUUUACUUACCACAACGGGGGCUUUGAGACGGAUGCUGACACUGGAAAAGCUGAGUUCCAGUCCUGGGCUCUCUGCUCACCAGCCACCUGAGCCUGGACACAGAUGCCCGGGCCCCUCCGGAGAAACUGAUUGAAGCAGUCUGUCCAAGAACCUGGCUGUUGGGAUCCGUUGCCAGCUCCCCAGCACAAUUCAGCAUGUCACCAUUAGCACCAACUGUGGAGUUGGGUUCUCCUGUCCUAUCAUCCUAGCAUCACCCAGAGCGGUUGACUUCCUGCAAUGAACUUCAGCAGUUUAACUUGACAUUUUGAGGUCCUCGGUAGCGUCUUCCCAGAGGACUUUUGGUAAGUACUGUGAAUUAGUCACCUUUUUGUCACUACAAUGAAUACCUUCUGAGGCAGGCUACUUAUGAAGAAAAGAGGCCUCUGUAGCUCACAGUUUGGGAGGUUCAAGGCAUAGAGCUGGCACUGGCUCAAGUUCUUGGGUUCUUGGCUGAGUUGUAUGAUGGCAGAGGCCAAUGGGAGAAAGUGGUCACAUCUUGAUACAGGAAGCAGAGAGAGAGGCACAGAGUCAGGCUUGGCUUUUAUAGCAACUUGCUUUUGUGAGAAUUCACUCCCGAAGACCAGUAUUCCCUUCCAAGAUCAUUACUCCCAAUGACCAAGAACCUCCCACUAGGACUCACCUCUAAAACACCCAGGGCACCUUUAAGUAUUAUUACUCUGAGGACCAACCCUCCAGCACAUGAGCCUGUAAGAGGACUUCCCAAUUCACCCAUGACGUACUACUUCUCUGAAUCCAAGGCCCAGUGGAUUAUUUUCUUUUCUUCAGAAUGCCAUAUAUGUUUAUGGUAUUUAAAUUUUGGCACAUGCUGUUCUCACUGC
This is a long non-coding RNA of Marmota monax (woodchuck), 2056 nucleotides long. RefSeq lists it as uncharacterized. Lineage: Eukaryota; Metazoa; Chordata; Mammalia; Rodentia; Sciuridae. The record is from RefSeq and is a predicted model, not a curated record. The transcript is spliced from 8 exons.